AGGCGACGAUCAGUAGCGGGUCUGAGAGGAUGAUCCGCCACACUGGGACUGAGACACGGCCCAGACUCCUACGGGAGGCAGCAGUGGGGAAUUUUGGACAAUGGGGGCAACCCUGAUCCAGCCAUUCCGCGUGAGUGAAGAAGGCCUUCGGGUUGUAAAGCUCUUUCAGCAGGAACGAAACGGUAGGGGCUAAUACCCUCUGCUAAUGACGGUACCUGCAGAAGAAGCACCGGCUAACUACGUGCCAGCAGCCGCGGUUAUACGUAGGGUGCGAGCGUUAAUCGGAAUUACUGGGCGUAAAGCGUGCGCAGGCGGAUUGUUAAGCAAGACGUGAAAUCCCCGGGCUUAACCUGGGAAUGGCGUUUUGAACUGGCAGUCUAGAGUGUGUCAGAGGGGGGUGGAAUUCCACGUGUAGCAGUGAGAUGCGUAGAGAUGUGGAGGAACACCAAUGGCGAAGGCAGCCCCCUGGGAUAACACUGACGCUCAUGUACGAAAGCGUGGGUAGCAAACAGGAUUAGAUACCCUGGUAGUCCACGCCCUAAACGAUGUCAACUGGUUGUUGGGGGAGUGAAAUCCCUUAGUAACGAAGCUAACGCGUGAAGUUGACCGCCUGGGGAGUACGGUCGCAAGAUUAAAACUCAAAGGAAUUGACGGGGACCCGCACAAGCGGUGGAUGAUGUGGAUUAAUUCGAUGCAACGCGAAAAACCUUACCUACCCUUGACAUGUCCAGAAUCCUGCAGAGAUGCGGGAGUGCCCGAAAGGGAAUUGGGACACAGGUGCUGCAUGGCUGUCGUCAGCUCGUGUCGUGAGAUGUUGGGUUAAGUCCCGCAACGAGCGCAACCCUUAUCAUUAGUUGCUGCGCAAGGGCACUCUAAUGAUGCUGCCGGUGACAACCGGAGGAAGGUGGGGAUGACGUCAAGUCCUCAUGGCCCUUAUGGGUAGGGCUUCACACGUCAUACAAUGGUCGGUACAGAGGGUUGCCAAGCCGCGAGGUGGAGCCAAUCCCAGAAAGCCGAUCGUAGUCCGGAUUGUUCUCUGCAACUCGAGAGCAUGAAGUCGGAAUCGCUAGUAAUCGCGGAUCAGCAUGUCGCGGUGAAUACGUUCCCGGGUCUUGUACACACCGCCCGUCACACCAUGGGAGUGGAAUCUGCCAGAAGUAGGUAGCCUAACCGCAAGGAGGGCGCUUACCACGGUGGGUUUCAUGACUGGGGUGAAGUCGAAACAAGGUA
Molecule: ribosomal RNA, 1230 nt
Filed under: metagenome
Description: bacterial SSU rRNA
Rfam family: Bacterial small subunit ribosomal RNA
Source: RNAcentral